GACGAACGCUGGCGGCGUGCUUAACACAUGCAAGUCGAACGAGGAUUAUUGAGCGGAAGGCUUCGGCCGGAAGGUUGAUAAUUCGAGUGGCGGACGGGUGAGUAACGCGUGAACAAUCUGUCCCAGACAGGAGGAUAACACUUGGAAACAGGUGCUAAUACCGCAUAAGACCACAGAAUCGCAUGGUACAGGGGUAAAAGGAGCAAUCCGGUUUGGGGUGAGUUCGCGUCCGAUUAGCCAGUUGGGGGGGUAACGGCCCACCAAAGCGACGAUCGGUAGCCGACCUGAGAGGGUGAUCGGCCACAUUGGAACUGAGAGACGGUCCAA
RNAcentral lists this ribosomal RNA (327 nucleotides) under uncultured bacterium. RNAcentral's name for it is "bacterial SSU rRNA". It matches the Rfam family "Bacterial small subunit ribosomal RNA", at positions 28 to 334 of the family's 1533-position model. The record is from RNAcentral.